UCCUACGGGAGGCAGCAGUGGGGAAUAUUGGACAAUGGGGGAAACCCUGAUCCAGCCAUGCCGCGUGUGUGAAGAAGGCCUUUUGGUUGUAAAGCACUUUAAKCAGUGAAGAARACUCUUCGGUUARUACCCGGARACSAUGACAUUASCUGCAGAAUAAGCACCGGCUAACUCUGUGCCWGCAGCCGCKGUAAUACAGAGGGUGCAAGCGUUAAUCGGAAUUACUGGGCGUAAAGCGAGCGUARGUGGCUUGAUAAGUCAGAUGUGAAAUCCCCGGGCUUAACCUGGGAACUGCAUCUGAAACUGUUAGGCUASAGUAGGUGAGAGGGAAGUASAAUUUCAKGUGUAGCGGUGAAAUGCGUAGAGAUCUGAAGGAAUMCCGAUGGCGAAGGCARCUUCCUGGCAUCAUACUGACACUGAGGCUCGAAAGCGUGGGUAGCAAACAGGAUUAGAUWCCCUGGUAGUCCACGCCGUAAACGAUGUMUACUAGYCGYUGGGUCCCUUGAGGACUUASUGACGCRGCUAACGCAAUAAGUAGUCCGCCUGGGAGUACGCCGCAAG
RNAcentral lists this ribosomal RNA (561 nucleotides) under uncultured Gammaproteobacteria bacterium. RNAcentral describes it as "partial 16S ribosomal RNA". It matches the Rfam family "Bacterial small subunit ribosomal RNA", at positions 337 to 892 of the family's 1533-position model. Lineage: Bacteria; Pseudomonadati; Pseudomonadota; Gammaproteobacteria. The record is from RNAcentral.